ACCCCGGGAAACUGGGGCUAAUGUCCGAUAGGCGAAGAGGCCUGGAAUGGUUCUUCACCCAAAGGGCGUUGGAAUCAUGCUUUUCAACGUCGCCAGAGGAUGGGGCCGCGACCGAUCAGGCUGUUGGCGAGGCAACGGCUCACCAAACCUAUAACCGGUACGGGCCGCGGGAGCGGUAGCCCGGAGAUGGGCACUUAGACAAGGGCCCAGGCCCUACGGGGCGCAGCAGUCGCGCAACCUCUGCAAUACGCGAAAGCGUGACAGGGCUAUCCCGAGUGCCGUCCGCUGAGGAUGGCUUUUCUCUGGUGUAGUGAGCCGGAGGAAUAAGGAGAGGGCAAGUCUGGUGUCAGCCGCCGCGGUAAUACCAGCUCUCCGAGUGGUAGGGACGAUUAUUGGGCCUGAAGCGUCCGUAGCCGGCUAAGCAAGUUUCCCGUUAAAUCCAGCGAUCUAAUCGUUGACUUGCGGGAAAUACUGUUUGGCUAGGGGGCGAGAGAGGCCAACGGUAUUUCCGGGGUAGGGGUGAAAUCUUAUAAUCCCGGGAGGACCACCAGUGGCGAAGGCUGUUGGCUAGANCGCGCUCGACNGUGAGGNACGAAAGCUGGGGAGCGAACCNGAUUAGAUNNCCGGGGUAGUCCCAGCUGUAAACNAUGU
RNAcentral lists this ribosomal RNA (651 nucleotides) under uncultured archaeon. RNAcentral's name for it is "bacterial SSU rRNA". It matches the Rfam family "Archaeal small subunit ribosomal RNA", at positions 129 to 763 of the family's 1478-position model. The record is from RNAcentral.